GAUGAAGAACGUAGCGAAAUGCGAUACGUAGUGUGAAUUGCAGAAUUCAGUGAAUCAUCGAAUCUUUGAACGCACAUUGCACCUCUCGGUAUUCCGGGAGGUAUGCCUGUUCGAGCGUCAUUUGUACCCUCAAGCUCUGCUUGGUGUUGGGUGUUUGUUCCGCCUCUGUGUGUGAACUCGCCUCAAAACAAUUGGCAGCCGGCGUACUUGUUUCGGAGCGCAGCACAUUUUGCGAUCCAGAUCAACGUACAGCGGCAUCCAAGAAGCCUUAUUUAACGCUCUUGACCUCGGAUCAGGUAGGGAUACCCGCUGAACUCAAGCAUAUCAAUAAGCGGAGGA
Molecule: unclassified non-coding RNA, 339 nt
Filed under: soil metagenome
Description: partial contains 5.8S ribosomal RNA, internal transcribed spacer 2, and large subunit ribosomal RNA
Rfam family: 5.8S ribosomal RNA (bases 1-120)
Source: RNAcentral